ACGAAAAAAACCUACCAAAAAAAACCAGAACUCGCACGCACGAGCGAGACUGCCCUCUCGAUCCCCUCGACCUACGAUCUGUGACUGCAGACGCACCAGAUCGCCGCCGCGGACCUCGCAGGGAAGACGCGGAUGAGAUCCCAAGCCGCUGCUCCUCCUCUCCCGGGAUGCAGCCGCCGCCGCCGAACCAGGGAGACGCCGGCGACCAUCGCCGCCGUCGUGGAUCACCAGGACGCCGCCGCCUGCACCGCCACCACCGCGCCUCGGAUACGUCGCUGCGAGGAGGAUCCCUGGGAGCGGGAGGAGGUAGGGGUCAGCCGCGUCGACAGCGGCGAGGUGGAGCCCUGGGGCUGGGAGUGGGUAUGGGAGGAGGUGGGGGCAGCUGCGAGCGCAGCGGGGUGAGGGGCGUCGAUGAGAUGCUCCUGGUGCCUCCCUCCGAGUGGGAGGGGGAGAGGGGCGUCAGCGGCGAGCCGGACGGGGCGAGGGGCGUCGAUGAGAUGCCCCCGGCGCUUCCCUCCGGGCGGGAGGAGGAGAGGGGCGUCGGCGACGAGGCGGGUGUCGGCGGCAAGAUGGUCUCUGACGGGCGUGAUAGGCGGGCAGCUUAGGCGUGAAGCGUGCGUUCAUGGAGGUAUUCGCCAGGGCGCUCUUCUAUCCGACGGUGAUGCUGAACUACGGCCGCAGCUUGAUCGAGCCCGAGUUCCACUGGUGGGAUCGCAUCGACAAGCUGUAGGGAUGUUGCUGUUUGAGGAAUACUGAAUGCUGUUCAUCUGUAUACAUUGAACUAAUUUUAAUUUGUAUCGACCCAGGAUAUUUGGAUAGGGGCAGUUCCUCACCAACCAAUGUCAUAAUUUAUCACGUCUGCAAAUGAUUUUUGGACUGUAGUUUGGAUUGUUCUGCCGAGCGUAUAACAACGCAUGCUAUCUAUCAAAGCUUCGACUCAUUUGUUUUGCUGCUCCGGAAUAUUGAGACGAGAAGAAUGGCCUUGAUGCUGGAGGUUAAUGGAUCACCCUGGGAACGAUUUUGAGGGCAUUAUGCCAGCUACUUUGAUGGCAAUGGAUUAUGGAAUGGCAAACUAACAGGGCACAUCGCACAACUGGUAUAAAUGUGUUGAUAUGUUGCAUUUCAAGGCAGUUUCACUCAUAAAUACUACAAAGUUUGAACCAUUUAGCAUUUGGGACCACGAGGAUUCCGAUUGGGAGAACGACGUCGUCCAUAGAUUAAUGUAUGGGAACACCGGGCCAACUCACUUUACAGGACAGGAGGGUUGACCGCUGGGCGAUGCGCUGCACGAGUAGGCCAGGAGGAACAAGAGUAGAAGAGGACUGUAGCCUGUAGGUGAGAGAAGAUGAUGCCAUUGCCAUCUUGACUGAAGGUUGGGCAUCUAAAGAUGCUUGGCAACCAGAACUCUGAAGCUAAACACCACUUGAAGGUACCUGGAAAUACAUUACUUGCUGAAGCUGCACAUCCUACGCCCCAGGAGGAGGCCAAAUGCAUAUUCCGAUCAUGUGUUCUAAAUACUAAAGCUUCCUUGCUGGAUCUAAGGUUUAAUUUCUCUGCCCCAAUGCUGGUUCUUAGGGUAAUACAAGUUCUACUCCAUAUUUUUGAUGCCCUCCACACAACUGUAUGUUCAUGUUCCAGAGUCCUUAUUCAUAGUUAAUUUCAAUCACAAAGUGACAAAUGCCAGUCUAUUAGUUAACAUGUGUAUCUCCGUUUCUUCUAAGUUUCAAUCGACCUACUCUGAAGUUGUUCCUAAGACAGUGCCUCAAGCAAAGGGAAUGAGCCUCAGUUAGUGUAUCUAGCGAGUUCGCGAUCCUUUGUUGGGAUAAACAUUUGUGCAAGAGCAAGUCUCGUCACUGUUGGUUGUUAGUACUUUUGCUUGAUAAUUCUAAUUUUUACUUCAGUUCAUAAGGCAAUGUAGUUAUGCUUGACGCACGAUAUGAAGACUGCCAUUUUGCCUUUUGACCUUGGUUUCUUCCUCCAGUAAGUAAAUGCACAUAGUUCUUUUCUAAAUUAGAGCAUAUGACUUGUUGAUCGAUCUCUGAGCUCAGUAAUAAUAUUAAGCCUUAAUCUGUUUACUGUAAUCUGGAAUAAAAUUAAAUAAAUAAGGAAACGUUAUAUUCAUAUAUCUUUUUUGUACUUUGAUGGUUUCACACCACAAGUUCCUAGAUGGUAAUUGUGCUGCAUAUGUCUGCUCUCUUACUUUGUUUUUCUGAACAGGUAGGUUCCGAAAGAUGUCAUGAAGAAUUUCUUUGAGAGAAUUUGCGUGAGGUGUGUCUAAAUGAUUUUUAUCUUCUGAACAUAUUCUUGUAUGACUAACUGAAUUCAUUUUCUCAAAACGUUGGUACUUUUCCUUUUUCAUUUAUGUUGCUCGACUGAGUCUCUCUCGGAUCAUGUACACUCCACAUGCUAGCUGAUCUGUAGCAGUGCGGAAGGUGAGCUUGGCUGCCGGCAACAGCUCCUUUGGCUGAUCUGCGGUGAUGCAGAAGUUGGGUUGGAAAAAAGCACGACCGGCUGCUCUGAAGUGGGUCGUAGGGAGAGCUUCGUAAGAGAUAGGGAGGGAGCUCUAUUGGCCCGUGCAUGACAUCCAACCCAAUGGCAUCAUGCCCUGGUAGGCAUGGUUGCAUGGCCACGGGGAGAAUGGAGCAAGUAGCGUGUGAGGAGUUUAAGAAAUGGGGACAAGGGACAGUUUAGUUAAUUAAGUCUAUGUUAGUUUCAAGUUUUAUCCUUGUUGCGGUAAAAAAUUAAGGUUGGAUUAACCACCAUGUACAUCUUUAAUUACUUUUAAAUAAGAAAUAUAAUCAAAAUAUUCUCUUGA
Triticum aestivum (bread wheat) is the source of this 2815-nucleotide long non-coding RNA. RefSeq lists it as uncharacterized. Lineage: Eukaryota; Viridiplantae; Streptophyta; Magnoliopsida; Poales; Poaceae. The transcript has 7 exons. The record is from RefSeq and is a predicted model, not a curated record.